UACGUAGGGCGCAAGCCGUUAUCCGGAAUUAUUGGGCGUAAAGAGCUCGUAGGCGGUUUGUCGCGUCUGCCGUGAAAGUCCGGGGGCUCAACUCCGGAUCUGCGGUGGGUACGGGGCAGACUAGAGUGAUGUAGGGGGAGACUGGAAUUCCUGGUGUAGCGGUGAAAUGCGCAGAUAUCAGGAGGAACACCGAUGGCGAAGGCAGGUCUCUGGGCAUUAACUGACGCUGAGGAGCGAAAAGCAUGGGGGAGCGAACAGGAUUAGACUAC
RNAcentral lists this ribosomal RNA (269 nucleotides) under uncultured bacterium. RNAcentral describes it as "partial 16S ribosomal RNA". It matches the Rfam family "Bacterial small subunit ribosomal RNA", at positions 524 to 786 of the family's 1533-position model. The record is from RNAcentral.